UACGUAGGUGGCAAGCGUUGUCCGGAAUUACUGGGCGUAAAGCGCGCGCAGGCGGCCUUUUAAGUCUGAUGUGAAAGCCCACGGCUCAACCGUGGAAGGUCAUUGGAAACUGAAAGGCUUGAGUACAGAAGAGGAAAGCGGAAUUCCACGUGUAGCGGUGAAAUGCGUAGAUAUCCGGAGGAACACCGGUGGCGAAGGCGGCUUCCUGGACCGACACUGACGCUGAGGCGCGAAAGCUAGGGGAGCAAACGGG
RNAcentral lists this ribosomal RNA (253 nucleotides) under uncultured bacterium. RNAcentral's name for it is "partial 16S ribosomal RNA". It matches the Rfam family "Bacterial small subunit ribosomal RNA", at positions 524 to 776 of the family's 1533-position model. The record is from RNAcentral.